AAUAGAUACCCGGGUAGUCCUAGCCGUAAACGAUACUCGCUAGGUGUCGGCCACGGUGCGACCGUUGUCGGUGCCGUAGGGAAGCCGUGAAGCGAGCCACCUGGGAAGUACGGCCGCAAGGCUGAAACUUAAAGGAAUUGGCGGGGGAGCACCACAACGGGUGGAGCUUGCGGUUUAAUUGGAUUCAACGCCGGAAAUCUUACCGGGACCGACAGCAAUAUGAAGGCCAGGCUGAAGACUUUGCCGGAUUAGCUGAGAGGUGGUGCAUGGCCGUCGUCAGUUCGUACUGUGAAGCAUCCUGUUAAGUCAGGCAACGAGCGAGACCCACGCCCACAGUUGCCAGCGUACUCUCUGGAGUGACGGGUACACUGUGGGGACCGCCGCUGCUAAAGCGGAGGAAGGAAUGGGCAACGGUAGGUCAGUAUGCCCCGAAUAUCCCGGGCUACACGCGAGCUACAAUGGUUGGUACAAUGGGUAUCUACCCCGGAAAGGGGACGGGAAUCUCCUAAAACCAAUCUUAGUUCGGAUUGAGGGCUGCAACUCGCCCUCA
RNAcentral lists this ribosomal RNA (550 nucleotides) under uncultured bacterium. RNAcentral describes it as "bacterial SSU rRNA". It matches the Rfam family "Archaeal small subunit ribosomal RNA", at positions 728 to 1276 of the family's 1478-position model. The record is from RNAcentral.